RNAcentral lists this ribosomal RNA (395 nucleotides) under uncultured bacterium. RNAcentral describes it as "bacterial SSU rRNA". It matches the Rfam family "Bacterial small subunit ribosomal RNA", at positions 28 to 430 of the family's 1533-position model. The record is from RNAcentral.
GACGAACGCUGGCGGCGUGCUUAACACAUGCAAGUCGAGCGGUAAGGCCCUUUCGGGGGUACACGAGCGGCGAACGGGUGAGUAACACGUGGGUGACCUGCCCUCAGCUCUGGGAUAAGCCUGGGAAACCGGGUCUAAUACUGGAUAUGACUCCAUGACGCAUGUUGUGGGGUGGAAAGCCUUGUGCGGCUGAGGAUGGGCCCGCGGCCUAUCAGCUUGUUGGUGGGGGAUGGCCUACCAAGGCGACGACGGGUAGCCGGCCUGAGAGGGCGACCGGCCACACUGGGACUGAGACACGGCCCAGACUCCUACGGGAGGCAGCAGUGGGAAUCUUGCGCAAUGGGCGAAAGCCUGACGCAGCGACGCCGCGUGAGGGAUGACGGCCUGGUGUAACG